RNAcentral lists this long non-coding RNA (15488 nucleotides) under Phaseolus vulgaris (common bean). Its description in RNAcentral is "long non-coding RNA (PVUL_LNC004942)". Lineage: Eukaryota; Viridiplantae; Streptophyta; Magnoliopsida; Fabales; Fabaceae. The record is from RNAcentral.
AAUAAAGUAAUUGGUAUAAAAAAAAUGAUUGAAAGGUAUUGUUGUUACAUAAUCACCAAUAAUGAGCAAUGACCAUUCUUAUUAUGAGUAAAAUAAAAAUUAAUAAUGAAAAGGGUAAAAAAUAAAAAUAUUGAAAGGGAGUCUGUCAGACAACCCUGUGAACAAAAUUACAUUUCAAGUCUGAUCCUGCCUGUUGACCAGAACGCUGGAGCCUUGCCUCGUCAAACCUGGAUCGACUUCUGCACCGUGUUAGCCUCCGUCUUUCACCGUGAUUCACCUCGAGAACCUGCAAAAGACAGAACGGCGCCGCUGCGGCCGAUCACGCUCCGACGCCCAAGUCAGCGACUGAACCACCAAUUACUAAGAGAAACUCAAGAACUCUAAGGAACCGUGCAAAGUUAUCUUUCAGCGUACUCAAAACUUGCAAGCGUAAAGAAGUAAUCUGAACGUGCGUACCUCAGAAGUUCGUUAGAAACUCUUAUAUACCUGCGCACUUUCUCUCUCCAGACAGUUACACUUCUGGACACGUGGCUCGCAUCCAGCUGUACACGUGUCACCAUCUGGAGCAUCCUUGACUUGGGCGCCACUUCAUACUCUUCAGGUUUUUGGCUAAGUUACUUAUGCAUGAUACAACUCAGUGCAUAGCUGCCUUGGAGCGUGAUCUCUUCUGGGUGGCGAGUUCGGGUGCCUUCGUACACACCUUCCCUGUGGUCUCGCCGGCCGCCUUCAUGAUCUACUUUACUUGCUUCACCGUGUAUGUUCAGGUAAGCUGUCUCCCGAGCUCAUCCUCUGGCCAGCUGGGAAAUGACUAUCUGACUUCAUCUUCGGCGAUGUCCUCGUUUCGGCGAUCUCUAAUCACUUGGUCGCCUGGGUUCACCUCUGGCGACUUCAUCUUCAAACCGGUGGCCGCCGGUUUAGGUAUGCUGGAGAUCGGAGCACGCCAACUUUAACAACCGGCGACUACACGAGCCCCCCGACUUCCUUCCCUUCUGCCAGCCAGGUGUCCCGUCCAACACACCUAUAUAAUAGCUCGAUGCCACGUCAUCACUUCCGACUACCAGGGUGGUACACAAGCCCCCCAGUCUUAAGCGAAGACUUGUCCAGCGAAAAGACUAAAGGAGUCACGUCACUACCGAUCUACGUGGCGCUGGCGCAGAAUUCCAAACGUUUGUACUUUCUGCUUUCCUGACGCUCCACCAAACACUCUCCGAAUCGCCCGACACGUGGCUUCAUCAACGGUCAUCUUUAGCUGUCGUUUGCACUUCCAAAAAUUAUUUGAAAAACCCUUAAACCCAUUUCAUUUCUACUGUUUCAUUAUCUCUUUGCCUUCUCAAACGCUCCGAGUUUCUUCUGCAAAACCCACGACGCUCUUCAACUCUCUGAAUCCCCAACUUCCUUCAGCGUUCGUCUGAUCAUCGAAAGGUACUCCCUUUACUUCUUCUGUUGAUAUUUGCUGCAUUUUAACCGAUUCGCAUCAUCCAUUAACUGCCUGGUGCAUACGCUGUGGGUUGUUCCUUCUUCUUCUCCCUUUCCGCACUUAGGGCUUCGUCUUCCAUUUCUCCCAUCAAUAACGAACUUUCGUUCGUUCGUCUUUUUCAUCCUUCGUUCACAAUCAAGUCGACCUUUGCAACCUUCGCUCACCUUUCUUUUCUUUUUUCCUUUGCAGUUCCUGCGAUGGCUCGAACAAAGACCACCGCGAAUCCUCCUCCCUCGUCACGAAACCCUCCAUCUCAAGCUCAUAACCCACCGCGAGCACCUGGUGCUUCCUCCUCCCAGGCUGAGAGGCCUGCAACCUCUCACCCCAACCUUGCUCAGGCAACUCCACCCGUCGCCGGAGGUGCCUCCAUUCCUUCCCCAGAUUAUAAGAAGUUAUACCCAUGGGCCACUUCAACGUUACUGAAGGAGACUUCCUCAGUAAACUCUGCUGAGGCAGUGCUUCGAUUGAAGAAGGGGGAUGAGCCCAACCUUUCAUUCCACAAGGAGCACGAUGACAAACUGACGGUGCUGCCUUGCCCCCCCGAUGUGCCAGUCUGCGCAGACGACAAAGGGAACAACGGCGAGUUGUUCUGCUUUGUGUACACCACCUUAUUCAAGAAGGUGAAACUUAAAUUCCCCCUUACCCGUUUCGAGCGAGAACUACUAACCGAGCUCGACAUCGCCGCCGCCCAGCUCCAUCCCAACAGCUGGGCAUUCGUGCGGGCGUUUCAAAUUAUAUGCGCACAUUUGGGACUACCGGCCUCGGUAGACGUGUUCCUCUUCCUGUUCGAGGCCAAGAACCCUGGAGAUCGCCUUUGGGUGAGCCUGAACGGGAUUGCUGGGAGGUCGAUCCUCUCUAUCUUCCAGCAAUCUUACAAGGAUUAGAAAGGUAAAUUCGUCCAAGUGUGUCAGAAUGAUCGGGACACUUCGCUGCUCGACGGCUUUCCCUUGUACUGGGUAAACAAGGGAAAUAAAGACUCCAACGGAAGCUUUAGAAAGCCAAGAAGCCCCGAUAACAUGGGCGCUUUGGACAAGGACCUGUGCCUCUUCUGGAAGAGUGUGGCAGCCGCGAACAUUACCUUUCUCACUUCUGCAAUCAUCUCCUUUGAGUUCUUCGAGGGCCAACUCGAGGCUCGCAUAGGUUAGUGCUCACCUUAACAUCUAAGUUAUUGCUCUGUGCUGCACCUCUGUUAUCUGUUACUGGGCGUCUUGUCUGUUGCGCACUAGACUUGGUCUUUAUUUUCUGCACCACUUGUUUGUCCCAUUUGCAUACCUACCCAUGUGUUUAUCUUUGCCUUUGAGCUGACCUGUAUACCUUCGCAUUAUGCAGAUCUCAUGCUGGGUAAGGGCAAACUAGUUGAAUUGAGGGCGCUCGCCCGAGCUCAUAGGCUGGCGUCGGGCUCCCAGACUGUGCCCAACUCAGUGGUGGAGAUCGCCGCUGCUCAGGGCAGAUCGCCCCCUCAAGGCCCAGCCCCUUCAGAAACCCUACCCGCCCAACAACGCAAAAAACUCAUCCUCAGGAAGUCAAAGAGGAAAACUCCUCAGGUGGUGAGUGAUGAAGAAGAAGACGACGAGGCAACUAAGGAUGGCCUCAUCACUAAAAGGAAGAGGGUGGCACCUUCUUCACCACCUGCUCCACCUCCUCUUCCAACACCAGCACCGCCUUCUCCGCCAGCUCCAACUCCAACACCACCUUCUCCCCCGGCUCCAACACCGCCAGUCCAAGCAGUGCCUUUGGCGGCUGCAUUUCCGGCGGUUGAGGCUACUGAGCCCAACUUCAUGGAGAACCCUCCGAGCGCCUCUACGCCAUUUGUGUCUGCUNNNNNNNNNNNNNNNNNNNNNNNNNNNNNNNNNNNNNNNNNNNNNNNNNNNNNNNNNNNNNNNNNNNNNNNNNNNNNNNNNNNNNNNNNNNNNNNNNNNNACAGCCUCAACCGCGAAAGCUGCACCAGGCGGGGAUGAAGGUGCUCACAACUCACCCAUCAUCAUCACUGAGUCCCCCUCGUCACCACCACGCCAAGAAGCUCCAAUUCAACAACCAGUCCAAGAGGGUGGUGGCGAGAGCCAGCACCCAGCUCCUUCAGCGCCUCCACCACCAGCAGUUGCCAACCUUCCCCUUGCGGUUAAAGGGAUGUGGGAACCCUUCUCAGCAAAACUCAAAAUGAUGGCAGAGGACCUCCCCUCCAUCAUAUCAAAAGCUGUGGAGAGUUCCAGCAAGAAACUUCAGGACGACAUCUCCGUGCUCCAACAGGAGAAUCGCCUAAUAAGGAUCAAGGCGGAGAAGUUGUCCUGCAACCUUAUGCUGGCAGAGAUCGACCAUUCAAGAGUGGAGGACGCUAUGAGCACCGAGCUGAGGGUGGCGCGCAAGGAGGCCACCGAUCUACGCCAUAGGGUGCACCUCUUAGCUCAAGAGAAGAUUGAACUGGAGAGCAAACUGGUCCCCUACCGUCUCAAGGUGGCUGACCUGGAGGCAUCGAUCAAAGCAGAUGCAGCCAAGGUAGAAAACCUUGAGAAGAGGUCAGUAGAUCGGGAAGUCUUCUUGGGAAAAGUUGAAAAUGAGAGAGAUGACACCAUGGCUAAGCUUGCUGAGGCCGAAAAGGAGAAUGAAGGGAUCGCCGCAGGGCUGGUCCAGGCGCAGGCGGAAAACAAGAAGGUUACUGAAGACCUCCUUCAAGCUCGUGAAACAACUGAAGAACUAAAGAAACGAGCUAAUGAGUUGGAACAGCAGAUCGAGGGGCUCAAGAAGCAAACUGAAGAACUCGAGCUGAGCUCCGCCCAAAUCCUCGCUGCUGGGUUUGACGCCGCUCUGGAACAAUUUGCCUGCCAGUACCCCGAUUUAGAUCUCUCCAUGGUGUCGCUAAACAAUGAAGUGGUGGAUGGGAAGAUCGUUCCUUCUGAAGACUAGCUGCUUCCCUCCAUCACUUAUUCAUCUAUCUUUCUCUUACACAGCUUACUUGUAAUAAUUUUUUCCCCUUUGGUACAUGUAAUUUGAACUGAUGCCACUGUGUUAUGACAUUUCCUGCUUCUUUAUAUAAUCUCCCUGUUAGCUUUAUUUCUUCUUGUAUAAAUCUCUUAAACGAAAUUGACUUAGCAAUUCUGCGAGCGCGACUGUUCAGUAACUGCUUCAAACUACCAACUUUCGAACGAUAGUCUUCUAACAACUUGUGAACUCUUAAGAUAAUGAACCUCAGCGCGAAACCACUUUCCAAACAACGAGCUUCAACCCAACUAAUAGUUUAAAACAUAGCUCACCCGAUCUGCCUUAUCAAAACGGGCCUUAACUCUUGCCAUCGCUUAAAUUUCUUCUGAUCGCCAAAGAUCCUUGGCGAUACCAGCUUCCUCUUGCCUUCGUAGUUUGGCCAUUGUUCCCUCAUCUGGGGGGUAGAGGUGCCUUUCGGAUCCUUCUCUACCCUCCCUGACUUUCAGAACAGUAAGCUGGAUAGCUAAGUGUUCUCUUCGAACCUACCUUAGCUAUCCUUUAAACUUCUUCCACCCUCCACACCGUACCUGAACUCGUUCGAGACGAGAAGGAUUUUAUCUUGCCUGAACUCGCUCGACGGCGAGAAGGUCUUUAACUCGCCUGAACUCGCUCAUUGGCGAGAAGGUCUUUAACUCGUGCCUCUACGUUGCCCCAGGGGCUACAUCUCCUCUCCCCUGGAAACACUGAGGACUUUUUACUGGUGCCUCUACAUUGCCCCAGAGGCUACAUCUUUUCUCCCCUGGAAGCACUGAGGACUUUUUACCGGUGCCUCUACAUUGCUCCAGAGGCUACAUCUUCUCUCCUCUGGAAGCACUGAGGACUUUUUACUCUUUCUCGCCUGCACUCGCUCGACAGCGAGGAGGUCUUUAUCUCUUUCUCGCCUCAGGACGCGCGAGGGCGUUGAGGUCUUUUAACUGGUGCCUCCGAUCGCCGAAAGACGACGAGGACUUUAAACUUUAACUGAUGCCGCCAAUCGCCGAAAAACGAUGGGGACUUAGAAACUUUUUUAGAAAGCAUGCGACAUAACUUCAAAACUCGCCUUAAAUCACAUAUAAGCGACAAGGUCUUUCUUCAAAACUUUCGAAAAAACAGCAAGCAUGCAAUCUAAAAUACUUCAAACUUUGAAAACUCUUCUUUAUUGGGUGGCCUCAUUAAAAACCCUCCUUAGGGAAAAAAGAGUGCCCCCUUCCAACUGUUUUAACAGAAAGCUUGCAAACCCUUUGUGUUUGUUUUUACUUACAAAGCUUUUAACUGUAAUAUAACUUGAGGUGCGUGGCGUUCCAGGUGCGAGGGAUCGCCCCUCCUUCCAACGUUUCCAAGCGGUAGGCGCCGUUCCCGAGCGCCUCGGUUAUCCUGAACGAUCCCGUCCACUUAGGCAAUAGCCUAUUCUCCAUCUCGUACUGAUGGGCCUUCCUCAUCACCAGAUCGCCUUCUCUGAACUGCCUUGGCAUCACCUUCGAGUUAUACCUUCGUUCAAUCCUUCUUUUCACUGCCUCAGCCUUCACUCUUGCCUCCUCCCUGACCUCAUCCAGCAAAUCCAGAUUCAACCUUCUUUCCUCAUUCGAGUCUUCCGCUACAAAGUUCUGGAAUCUCGGCGAGCUCUCUUGGAUUUCUACUGGAAUCAUUGCGUCGCAUCCAUAGACCAGGCUAAACGGGGUCUCAUGGGUUCCUGACUACUCGGUGGUGUGGUACGCCCAAACUAUACGGGGUACCUCCUCAGCCCAACUUCCUUUGGCUUUCUCUAGCCUUCUCUUCAAACCUCUUAGCAAUACCCGAUUGGCUGACUCUACUUGGCCAUUUGUCUGAGGGUGCUCGACAGAUGCAAAUACUUGUUGAAUUCCCACCCCUUCGCACAACUUCUUCAAUAGGUGACUUGCAAACUGAGUUCUGUUAUCUGACACCAGGCGCUUGGGCACACCAAACCGGCACACGAUGUUCUUCCACACAAAGCUCUUGAUCUUGUGCGCGGUGAUCUGGGCCACUGGUUCUGCUUCAAUCCACUUGGUGAAAUAUUCAAUCGCCACCACCAAGUACUUCAUCUGCCUGAUCGCCAAUGGAAAGGGUCCCAGAAUGUCGAUCCCCCAUGUAUGGAACGGCCAAGGGCUGUAAAUCGACUUCAACUCCUUGGGAGGCGCCUUGUGCCAAUCGGCGUGCUGCUGACAUUGCUUGCAACACUGUGCAUACUUCUUGCAAUCUUCUCUCAUUGUUGGCCAAUAGUAACCUGCACGGAGAGUCCUUGCGGCCAGAGCUCGACCACCGACGUGGCUUCCACAGAUCCCUUCAUGGAGCUCGGCCAUGAUUCUUGUACAUUUCUCUCCGUGCACACAUUCCAGGAGUGGGUGUGUGAACCCAAACCUAUACAACUCGCCGUCAAUCAUCGUGAACUUGCUGGAGUUCUUCUUUAUCUUCCUGGCCUCCGUCGGAUCCAGCGGGAGAAGGCCAUCCGCCAGGCAUCGCUUGUACUGUGUUACCCAGGUGUCUGGCUCAUGGGUCGUGCAGACCUGCGUCAUGUUCACCUUCUCUCCCCGACAUGCUCUUAUUCUUGGCGACCUCAAGGUCUCCUGAGUCAAAGACCUGUGACUCCUCGCUGCUUUCUCUGUCGACCUGCUUAUCUGAAGAACCAGGUGAUCUGCCACAAAUGCUCUGGGUGUCUUCAGAGUUCUUGGAUCACCGUCCUCUGCCUUUCCCCCUUGCCUGAACUGGCGAGCUUANNNNNNNNNNNNNNNNNNNNNNNNNNNNNNNNNNNNNNNNNNNNNNNNNNNNNNNNNNNNNNNNNNNNNNNNNNNNNNNNNNNNNNNNNNNNNNNNNNNNACUCUUCAACUCCUGGACAUACUAUAGGUAAGCCGCCAUUUGUGGAUCUUUAGCCUGGAACUCGCCUGUUACUUGCCCCGUGACUAACAGCGAGUCACUCUUAGCCAUUAGCACCCUAACUCCCAUUUCCUUGGCCAGCAAGAUUCCGGCGAUCAGUGCUUCAUACUCUGCUUGGUUGUUGCUGGCUUUGAAGGCAAACCUUAGGGACUGUUCAAUCAGCACGCCGUUGGGCCCUUCCAAGAUGACUCCAGCACCGCUACCCUGCUGGUUCGACGAUCCGUCCACCGAAAGCACCCAACGAAAGUCGUCCCCCUCAACUCGUGUCGCUUCUGACGAGAGCUCGACCACGAAAUCUGCGAAAAUCUGCCCCUUGAUCGGACCUCGGGGCUCAUACUUAAUAUCGAACUCCAACAGCUCCACCGCCCACUUCACCAUCCUCCCAGCCACAUCGGGCUUCUUAAGGACCUUCUGGAUGGGCAAGUCGGUCAUCACCAGUAUCGUGAAGCUGUGGAAAUAGUGGCGUAACCUUCUCGCCGAAAAAACCACUGCCAGCGCAGCUUUCUCCAAGGCCUGAUAUCUCACUUCGGGGCCCUGCAGCACCUUGCUGACAAAAUAAAUAGGCUUUUGAGCCUGAUCUUGGUCUUGGGCGAGCACCGCACUCACCGCCCUCUCAGUCACAGCAAAAUACAACCUGACGGGGGUUCCCACCAGCGGUUUGCACAAAACCGACGGGCUCGCCAGGUAUUCUUUAAGCUUGACGAAGGCCUCUUCACACUCCUUCGUCCAGGCAAAUUUGUUGUUUCGCCUUAAACACUGAAAAUACGGGUGGCCCUUCUCUCUGCUAGCUGACACGAAAUGAGACAGGGCGGCCAUCCGACCUGGAAGUUGUUGCACUUCCUUCACGGUAGCCGGGCUCCUCAUCGCCAAGAUGGCAGCACACUUAUCAGGAUUGGCUUCUAUUCCUCUUUCAGUCAAGAGGAAACCCAAGAAUUUUCCCGCCUCCACGCCAAAGAUGCACUUCUCGGGAUUCAGCUUUAACCUGAACUUGGCGAUCGUAGUGAACAACUCUUCUAAGUCCGCAACAUGCUUGCUCUUCUCCGGCGAGGUCACGACCAUGUCAUCCACGUACGCUUGCACAUUUCUUCCCAACAUUGGUGCAAGUACCCGAUCCAUCAACCUCUGGUACGUGGCCCCUGCGUUCUUCAGCCCAAAUGGCAUCACCUUGUAGCAGUAGCACGAUCUCUCGGUCAUGAAGGCAGUCUUCUCUUCAUCAAUGGGAUGCAUCUUGAUCUGGUUAUACCCCGAGAAGGCAUCCAGGAAACUCAACAACUUACACCCUGCAGCACUGUCCACCAGGGCGUCUAUGCUUGGCAAAGGAUACGAAUCCUUUGGGCAAGCCUUGUUCAGAUCGGUGAAAUCGACGCACAUGCGCCAUUUCCAUUGCUCUUCUUCACCAGCACGACAUUAGCUAGCCACUCAGGGUACUGGACUUCCCUGAUAUGGCCUGCAGCGAGGAGCUUCUGUGUUUCAUCCCUGAUCGCCUGCCUUCUCUCCUCGUUGAAUUUCCUUCUUCUCUGCCGCACUGGCCUGACCUGGUUGUCCAUUGCUAGAUGAUGGCAAAAGAAGUCGGGGUCAAUUCCCGACAUGUCUGAAGCAGACCAUGCGAAAGCGUCCAGAUGCCGCUCUAUCACCUUGGCAAUCUGGUCUUGGAGCUCAGCCUCCAAGGAUCUUCCCAACUUGAAGACCUUUCCCCCGAUCUCCCUUUCGAGCCAUUCCUCGACGGGUUUGGGUCUAGCUUCCCUGGCGAUCACCGCCCUGGCGAUCACCGCCCUGGCGAUCACCGCCCUGGCGAUCACCGCCCUGGCGAUUCCCAGCUCCCUCAAUUAAGUAACCAAAAUUGUCAAUUCACGAGUAAAACUCUCAAAACUGUUUAAGGUUCACAUACUCACUUGGUUUAAAUGGUCUCAUUCUUUUUUCUUUUGUCCUUCUCUGUCCUAAUCAAUCAUCCUGUUAAAUUUUCAUGUAUCACAAUUUCAACUACAUUUGAAUAAAUAUUCAAUCAUAUUUUCUUUUCUAACAUGUGUCUAAUUUAUCUCACUAUUUAAUGUUUACACACAAAUUCAUUUUUCCACAAUUCAAAAUGAAUAUUCUAGUGCUUUUUUAUUUGAGAAAAAUUAACUAGAAAACAAACAAAUUAAACUGAAAUGUAUCCAAGAAAAUAAUUCAAGACAUAAAAACUAACAAAACAACAAAUUUAUUCAAACUACAAAAUAAGUAAAUAAAACAAACUAAGCAAAUAAACGAAAUAACUAAAAAAUAAAAAAUGAAAACAUAAACAAAAAAAUAAAGCAAAAUUUAAAUAACUAAAAAGAAAAGAGAAUUAGAAAGAUAAAACUAUAUUUUUGCUCAAUCCUCUCUUUCUAAGAAGUCAUCCAGCUCUUUGUUAAAAUCUUCAUCUAUAGUCUUGCUUCAUUUGCUGGAUCUACCCCCCCCCCUCCCCCCCCCCCCAAAACUAAUAGUACCUGUCCACAACCCAAAAUACAUAACCUGCAAAAUGAUUAGGAGAAAUAUUGGAAUUAGGGUGCCUUUAAGAUUUUUUUUUUUUUGCAAAAAUAUUUUGCUUUAGCGAGAAUCCUUGCGUAAAAACACCAUUUUUCGAUGUAAAACUCGCUUGAGCGAGAAUUUGCUCGCUUAAGUGAGAAUUUCGUCGUCAAACUCACUUGGGCGAGACUUCCUGCAAGAAAACAUGAUUUUGAAAAUAAAAAUCAACAAAGGUAGCAAAACAAAAAAAAAGAAAAACUGGAUUGGGUUGCCUUCGAGUAAGCGUCAUAUUUAACGUCAUAUAACUUGACGAAAGAUUUUAUCAAGGGGGAUAAUUAUUCUUCUUGGCCAAUACUCUUGUUAUCACUUUCAUUUUCCUUGAAUACGACUCUUCCACUUCAAUUGUUCCAUUCAGAUUUAAUUCCUUAAUGACUCACAAUUUCUUCGUCUUCUUCAUUCGUUUCCCCCUACCUGCGUUAAGCAUGAUAGUCCUGGCCAAUACUCCUUUUCUUUCAUUGGCUUCCCUUGAUUGUCCUGAUCUUCUUUUGUCUUUACCAUUUCCUGAGGUGGAACUUUCUCCUUUGGCUUUGAACCCUCCAUCUGCUCACCAUUUUUUGAAAUUUCCUAUUGUCUCCCAUCCUUAUCUUCAAUACAGUUAUUUACAUCAUCAAAAAGAUUAAAUUUUACCUCAUCAUCUUGAGACCUUACUCUAAGUUCUCUUUUAUCCACAUCCACUAUGACUUUAACACUCUUCAUAAAAGGUCUGUCGAGAAUCAAAGGGACCUCCUUGUCUUCCUUCAUGUCCAAGAUAACAAAGUCUAUCGAAAAUAUGAACUUGUCUACCUUCAUUAGAACAUCUUCUACCGCACCAUAAGGAUGUUUCACAGUUGUGUCAGCCAAUUCAUGGUGGGUUUAACCUCCAAGUCACCUAUUUGUGCUAACAUGGUUAAUGGCUUAUACUUAACCCUAAAUCCAAUAAGUCAUUAUCAACAAAUAAAUCAUUUAUUGACACAGUCCCUGGAUCCUUGAAUUUCUUGGGAAAGUCUUUCAGCUUCAAAGAACUGCUUCCAGCUCUAUAUCCUUUUCUUCAAAGCAACACAUCUUCCUUCUAAUUCCUUCAAAUAAUGUUUUUUUCUCCGACCAUCCUGCAAAAUAAUUUUUUGGAAGCAAUUUAUCAGAAAAAAGUUCUUUUUUUUUACAGGCAUAUGGGAAUGGGAUAAUUCUUUUGGAACUCUACUCUUUACAACUUCAUAUUUUUCUCCCUCUUUUCUAUCUUCUCUUUUUUCUUCCUCAACCUUCUCCAUCUCACCAUCCCCCUCUCGUAUUUUUUUAUCACUCUCAAUAGUGAUUUUAUUACAAUGUUCCUUGUCUGAACAUAGAGAUUUCAGACAUAACUUUAAUGUAACGAGAAAUUGGAAAAAAUAUCGGUAGAAACUUUUCUUGUACAUCCUUCCAUUUAGCUAGGCUCUGAUUAGAAUGUGAUUUAAGUCAUUCCUUCACUCUCCCUGCCAAAGAAAAGGGAAAUAAACACAUAUACACACUUUCCAGAUCACCUAACUGAAACCCCAUAGUUCCCACCAAUUCAUAAAAUGUGUAUGAGGAUCCUCAUGAUCCAUCGUCGUGAAUUGAUUGGUACUUAUUAGGGUGAGAAAUGCAGACUUCAUCUCCAAGGCACUGUUAGUAGCAGGUAUUGCAAUGCUAGAAAAGUGUCUAGGUCCUUAGUGUAUGGCGUAGUCUCUAAGAGUCCUCCUAUUAGGUGGUACUUCAUCCUCUGCUAUGUUGUUCUCUUCAUGAAAAUAUGAAUGGAAAAAGAAGAAGUUGUUGAAGAGUCCUCUCUAGUAUCUUCUUGCUUCUCUUUUGUCUUUAAUUUUCGGUUUCUUCUAACUAACUUCUCAAUUUCUGCUUCAAAUAACAAUUGGUCUUUUGGAAUCCGACCUCUCAAUAUCUUAUAAAAAAACAACUAAUGCAAGGAUUAGCAAGAAACUUCAGAAACAGUAACCAAAAAUUUGUAUUUUAUAUAUAUAUUUUUUAAAAUAGAACAAUUAACUAAAAAUUAAAUUCUAAUUAAAUAAAAAAAAUAAAAGAAAAUUCAAAUUAAAUAAGAAAAUAAAUAGAUAUAAAUAAAAGAAAAUAAAGAAAAAAAAUAAGAGUUAAAUCAAUAAAAACAAAAUAACCAAUCUGAAAAAAAAAACACAAUAAAAAUAAAUCAAAACAAUAAAAAUAUUCACAAUAUUUAGGAACAUAUACUCAACAAAUCAAACUUGUUCCCCGGUAACGGUAUCAAAAAUUUGAUGACUUUUUACGGCAAGUGCAUCGCGUUGUCAGAAGUAAUAAUUUGUCGCUAAGGACGGAUAUCCAUCCCACAAGGAACAAUUGAAUUAUCAAGUACAAUACUCGCUAAAUAUAAAACAGAACAAUAAAAAGUGUGUUGAGAAUGGAUGUGUUGGCGAUGAUCAAUAAGAAAACAGACAAAGAAUUGGUUGCUUCAAGUUGGAAAAAUAAGGAUUAGGUUUCAUCUGUCUCAUUCUUAUGUAUUUCGAUUAACAUGUUAACAUUAUGUUCUUUGAUUGAAAUUGAUGUUCGUAUAAAAGUCAUUUAUAUCGAUUUUUCGCAUAUAAAAUUAUUAAGAAUGUUUCCUAAAUAUCGAUCUUUCGCAUAUUUAUAAGAACAAAUUAUAAUCAAGCUUAGGCGUUCAUAACAAAAUUACAUUUCAAGUCUAUUCAUAACACUCAAAUAUGUUAAGUAUUGUUGUUUGGGUCAAAACCCUAAAAAUACUUUCUAGACAAAUUUAAAAUUCUCAAACAUGUCUCAAUUAUUUAGAAACAAAACAACAAUACUAAUAAUCAAUCAAGAACAUAAUAUUAUAUCAUAUUUAAAUAUCACCUCAAUACAUAAGAGUUUGAACAAAUUACUCUCAAUUACAAAUGGUAGAAUUAGCCACGCAUACUUCUAGCACCUUCCAUUCUCCCAAUUGGUUACAAAUCACCCAAUGGUCUUUUCCUCUAAAUCUAGCACACUAGAGUUGUGCCUUUAGCCCUCUAUUUCACCUAAUUUGUUAGGAUUAGGUGACUUCUUGCGUCGCGCUGAUGAACUUAUUAAUAAAAACAUAAAAAAAAACUCAAUUUGUCUAACGCAUUCUCGCUUAAGUGAGAAAGGCGUUGAUUUCCGAAAAAAUUCAUUGGAGCAUUCUCGCUCAAGCUAGAAUAUCUCGCUUGAGCGAGAUACUCCGCUGUUGAGUUGGAUUUUUUGUGCGUUUCGAACCUUCCAACUUUCUCCUUUUAGCUUAUAUCAUUCAUCUUUGGUCCAAAUCUUCAUUCUUCCUUAUAAACCUGAAAUUAACACCAAAUUUAGAAAUAAAAUGCUCUUAUUCAAAUAAAGAUCAUAAAAAAUGUAAAAAGAUAUAAAUUCAUAACUUAGGAAUUAUUUAUAUGUAGUUUAGCAAUUAAUACUCAUAAGUGCCUGUAUUUUAAUAUGAAAUAUUACUGAAAUUAGGCACUUAUCAAUAAGCUAUAUAAUUAAAUUCUUCAUUGUGUGAAGAUAUCCUAGUGUGCUUCCAUUGUUGCUCUCAAAUUGAGAGUGUUUCUCACUUGUUCAUAGGUCAUGGUCUCAAAAGGAGAUUAAGAUUGGCUACCUGAAGAAAUGUAGAAUACUUGUACCUGAAUAGGUGUAGAAUACUUUUACAUGGAGAGGUGUAGAAUACUCGUGUAUCUAAAGGGAUGUAAAAAUACUUGUCUUAAUGAAGGCUCUUAAACGAGUUGCUUAAAGGGACUGGAAGUAGUCCUAAUUGUGGAGUGAACCAGUAUAAAUAUGUGUCUACUUCUCUCUACUCUAAGUCUAUUUAACGCUAACAUUGUUUUGGUUAUAAUUUGUGAUAGAUGUCAUUUAUCAAUCAAAUUGAAAAAAUUCUAUCGUAGUUUGUCUAAUGCAAUGAUAAAGUAUGUAACACCAAAGAGUUGAUAUUAUAGAAGUUGUCGUAAGAUCCUUCAAAAGCCCAAUAUUUCAAGUAUUUCUAAAUGGAAUGAUUGUUCGAGGUUGAUCAUCUGGAGGUCUUAAAGAUCGGCCCAGAGAAAGGGAAGAAAGUAUCAAUCAAUGAUUCAAUAAACCUGAAUCUUUUGAGGUCUUGCAGAUCAACAUCAUAGAUACUUCGAUAACACCUUAUAAGCAUUAUCUUGUCGAUGGAUUACUUCCUGCUGAGCUUGCAAAGGCCAAGAUAUUCUCACUUGAACGAGAAUACUCUAAUGAAUUUUUUUCGAAAAUCAACGUCUUUCUCGCUCAAGCGAAAUUUUUAACUCAAGCAAGAUAUUCUCCCUCAAACGAGAAUACGUCAGACAGAUUGACCCAUUUUAUGUUUAUAUCAGUAAGUCCAUUAGCGCAACAAAGGAAGUCACCUAACCCUAUUAAAUUAAGUUAAUAUUGCUUUCUAAUAGUUAUAUUAAAACAUAUACAUAAAAAUAAUUUUACAAAACUUAAAAGGAUUUAUGUGGUUUAUUUUAUCAAAAUGGAUAUAAUUUUUAAAAUUUAUGAAAAUGAGUAAAUUUUUAACAUAUUAUACAAAUAAAUAGGAAGUACGUUCAAAGCCCUACUACAAUGAAAAAGUGGUAUUUUAAAAAACAAAGAGUAAAUCCUAAAUUCUAAAGAGAACCAUCUCGUACAAACCAAUUUUUUAAUCAAGCAUAUAAAGACCUAUCAUUUCAGUUUUUAUCAAAUUUUUACAAUUAUCUUUUCUCUAUUUCAGAUAAACAUCCUUUUUUACUUUAAAAUAUUCAUAUAUAUGUAAUAAAUAAGAAUCACAUAUUAAUUUUAAUAAAAAAUAAAUAAAAAUAAAAAUAUUUCUUUAAAAAGUAAAAAAAAAAAAAAGCAAAAAAACACUUUAAAAAGUAAACAUAUUAGAAAUUUUUAAUAUGAAUUUAUUAAUCAAAUUAUUAAAUAAAACCUUAGAAAAACAUAAAAAUUCUAAAUGGAGGAGAUGUAUUAUGGGUACGCCUUUUAUAAAAUUGGUUGUUGUAUGAAGAAUAAAGUAAUUGGUAUAAAAAAAGGUAUUGUUGUUACAUAAUCACCAAUAAUGAGCAAUGAGCAUUCUUAUUAUGAGAGUAAAAUAAAAAUUAAUAAUGAAAAGGGUAAAAAAUAAAAAUAUUGAAAGGGAGUCUGUCAGACAACCCUGUGACCAUCUCAAAUCAUGAAGACUGGGAACGAUCCUCUACAGCUAAGAUGUAUCUAAUCCAGGGAGAAGGCACACCUGACCGUUAAUCACGCUCUGAUCACAGGGUCACGUUCAUCCACCAGACUUCAGUUCCUGUCUCCUUAGAACUCAAGGAUACAGAGGUACGAGCCUAUAGAACAGAUCCUGUUCAAGUAAGGUCGUGACCAGUUACAAUAGGUGUCCCUUAAUAAACUUGUUUUCUGCUUCAAACGUUUUCAAUGUGGGACUACGUUAUCUAUGGUGAACACUUUUUUUCCAGAAAAACAUCUGCUAUGCUAUUCUCAGUAAACUACGGUGAUCAUUAGGAGGGAUGAGUUUAAAAAGACUGAAAUCAACAGAAAAGCUUUGAAAGAAAACAGAAAUAUAGACUAGUAAAGAAAGCCAGCACAUCAUUGUUCCUGGUAGAGCUUCUUGAAGUUCCAUGAUGGCAAAUAUGACAUGUGUGGAACACUGUCUCUGAAUGCUACAAUUAUCAUGCGUUAC